GACGAACGCUGGCGGCGUGCUUAACACAUGCAAGUCGAACGGAAAGGCCCUGCUUUUGUGGGGUGCUCGAGUGGCGAACGGGUGAGUAACACGUGAGUAACCUGCCCUUGUCUUUGGGAUAACUUCAGGAAACUGGGGCUAAUACCGGAUAGGAGCUCCUGCUGCGUGUUGGGCGUUGGAAAGUUUCGGCGGUUGGGGAUGGACUCGCUGGUUACCAGCUUGUUGGUGGAGUAGGUACGUACAAAGGCUAUGACGGGUAGCCGGCCUGGGAGAUUGACCGGCCACAUUGGGACUACGAGACGGAGCAGAAUGCUACGGGACGCAACGGGCGAGAGUAUUGCGGAGUGGGCGCGCGCGUGAUGCGGCGACGCCGCGUGCGGGAUGCCGUCUUACGGGUUGUGAACCGCUUUCGCAGGUAACGAGGCGUGCGUGACGGUACUGGGUCAAGAAGCACCGGCUAACUACGUG
Molecule: ribosomal RNA, 468 nt
Filed under: uncultured bacterium
Lineage: Bacteria
Description: partial 16S ribosomal RNA
Rfam family: Bacterial small subunit ribosomal RNA
Source: RNAcentral